AUGCUCGUCGCGCUGCUGCUCGGCCUCAACAUGUCCUGGAGUGCCAUUAGCGCUGCCCUCACACUCAUCUUCCUCGACUUUAAGGACGCUUGCCCCUGCCUCGAGAAGAAUAUGAUAUGUGCCUUAAUUCUAAGUUCUGGUCUCUCUUAA
This 150-nucleotide ribosomal RNA is filed under the name Triticum aestivum (bread wheat). Its description in RNAcentral is "partial small subunit ribosomal RNA". Lineage: Eukaryota; Viridiplantae; Streptophyta; Magnoliopsida; Poales; Poaceae. The record is from RNAcentral.